GAUAGAUAGAUAGAUAGAUAGAUAGAUAGAUAGAUAGAUAGAUAGAUAUAGAUAGAUUACAGUAACUAAUGAAAAUUAUGAAAUACAUUACACAAUUGUUCUUCUCACGUUCUUAUUAUUAUUCGUAUAUUAUAGCACAUACACAUAUUGGAUAUAAACACAUUGGUUUUGAAGGACUGGGACACCAUAUUUUCCGUAGACAUUCAAUAUCUCCUGUACAUCCUAAUGAAGAAAAAAAGAAAAAUAAUUAAUGUAGAUAAAAUGAGAUAAAAUAUUUUGUAUGAAUUUAAAAAAAUGUGAUAUGUUUGAAUUCAAGGUCACGACGAUACCUCCGAAAUUAAAAGAUAAGACAUUCUAAGUAAUAUUACUUACUUUUUUAUUUCAUUUCAUGAUCAUAAUUUUAUACAAAACUAAAACUACAAGGUUCUUGAAAUUAUAAAAAGAAAAAAUAUCAAACUAUAAUGUAACAACACAAUAUUGUGUAUGAAGUAAAGGAAAUUUACAAAUGAUAAAAGUGGCUUACCAUCAACUUCCCUUGAAACAAGUAAUAGGGAAAAAAAGAUAAUUAUAACAUAAAUAAAUUUGACAAUUUCAGCCAUAUUUUUCUUUGUUGUAUGUAACAAGUGGAUUUCUCACUUUAUAGUUUAUAAAAAUUUCAUCCUCUCUUUACAUCAAUUAAAUAGUUUUAAAUUAUUUAAGGUCUUUUAAAUACAUCAAUAUGUUGU
This 725-nucleotide long non-coding RNA is filed under the name Trifolium pratense (red clover). RNAcentral's name for it is "long non-coding RNA (TPRA_LNC013339)". Lineage: Eukaryota; Viridiplantae; Streptophyta; Magnoliopsida; Fabales; Fabaceae. The record is from RNAcentral.